GCCUCCGUGAUGCAAUCGGCCAGCGCGUUCGGCUGUUAACCGAAAGGUUGAUGGUUCAAGCCCACCCGGGGGCG
Trichonephila clavipes is the source of this 74-nucleotide non-coding RNA. The record is from the annotation of a GenBank genome assembly. Lineage: Eukaryota; Metazoa; Arthropoda; Arachnida; Araneae; Nephilidae.